Molecule: ribosomal RNA, 239 nt
Filed under: uncultured bacterium
Lineage: Bacteria
Description: partial 16S ribosomal RNA
Rfam family: Bacterial small subunit ribosomal RNA
Source: RNAcentral
GAUCCUGGCUCAGGACGAACGCUGGCGGCGUGCUUAACACAUGCAAGUCGAACGAGAAUCUAUGGAAAGAGGAUUCGUCCAAUUGAAAUAGAGGACAGUGGCGGACGGGUGAGUAACGCGUGAGGAACCUGCCUUUCAGAGGGGGGCGAACAGUUGGAAACGACUGCUAAUACCGCAUAACGCGUAGAGGUCGCAUGGCCUUUACGCCAAAGAUUUAUCGCUGAAAGAUGGCCUCGCGU